This 588-nucleotide ribosomal RNA is filed under the name uncultured bacterium. Its description in RNAcentral is "bacterial SSU rRNA". It matches the Rfam family "Bacterial small subunit ribosomal RNA", at positions 335 to 936 of the family's 1533-position model. The record is from RNAcentral.
ACUCCUACGGGAGGCAGCAGCAAGGAAUUUUCCGCAAUGGGCGCAAGCCUGACGGAGCAACGCCGCGUGCGGGAUGACGCCUUUCGGGGUGUAAACCGCUGUUCGUGGGGACGAAGCACUGACGGUACCCACGGAGGAAGGCCCGGCUAACUACGUGCCAGCAGCCGCGGUAAUACGUAGGGGCCGAGCGUUGUCCGGAGUUACUGGGCGUAAAGCGUGCGCAGGCGGCGUAUCGCGCCCGGCGUGAAAGCCCCCGGCUCAACCGGGGAGGGUCGUCGGGGACGGGUACGCUUGAGGGCAGCAGGGGCUGGUUGAAUUCCCGGUGUAGUGGUGAAAUGCGUAGAGAUCGGGAGGAACACCUGUGGCGAAGGCGGCCAGCUGGGCUGCACCUGACGCUGAGGCACGAAGGCGUGGGGAGCGAACGGGAUUAGAUACCCCGGUAGUCCACGCAGUAAACGAUGCAGACUAGGCGUGGGGGGACUUGACCCCCCUCCGUGCCGGAGCUAACGCGGGAAGUCUGCCGCCUGGGGAGUACGGCCGCAAGGCUAAAACUCAAAGGAAUUGACGGGGGCCCGCACAAGCGGCGGA